AUUGAACGCUGGCGGCAUGCCUUACACAUGCAAGUCGAACGGCAGCACGGGAGCAAUCCUGGUGGCGAGUGGCGAACGGGUGAGUAAUAUAUCGGAACGUGCCCGGUCGUGGGGAUAACCGUAGCGAAAGCUACGCUAAUACCGCAUACGAUCUACGGAUGAAAGCGGGGGAUCGCAAGACCUCGCGCGAUUGGAGCGGCCGAUAUCAGGAUUAGGUAGUUGGUGAGGUAAAGGCUCACCAAGCCGACGAUCUGUAGCUGGUCUGAGAGGACGACCAGCCACACUGGGACUGAGACACGGCCCAGACUCCUACGGAGGCAGCAGUGGGGAAUAUUGGGCAAUGGGCGAAAGCCUGA
This 356-nucleotide ribosomal RNA is filed under the name uncultured bacterium. Its description in RNAcentral is "bacterial SSU rRNA". It matches the Rfam family "Bacterial small subunit ribosomal RNA", at positions 30 to 386 of the family's 1533-position model. The record is from RNAcentral.